This 499-nucleotide non-coding RNA is filed under the name uncultured Glomus. RNAcentral describes it as "SSU rRNA". It matches the Rfam family "Eukaryotic small subunit ribosomal RNA", at positions 591 to 1092 of the family's 1831-position model. The record is from RNAcentral. Lineage: Eukaryota; Fungi; Glomeromycota; Glomeromycetes; Glomerales; Glomeraceae. RNAcentral also lists the same sequence under 1 other name.
CCAAUAGCGUAUAUUAAAGUUGUUGCAGUUAAAAAGCUCGUAGUUGAAUUUCGGGAUCAAUUUAUUGGUCGUGCUAUUGUACGUACUGGUAUUAUUGAUUCCUACCUUCUGACGAACCAUGAUGUCAUUAAUUUGGUGUCUUGGGGAAUCAGGACUGUUACUUUGAAAAAAUUAGAGUGUUUAAAGCAGGCUCACGCUUGAAUACAUUAGCAUGGAAUAACGAAAUAGGACGUUUGAUUCUAUUUUGUUGGUUUCUAGGAUCGACGUAAUGAUUAAUAGGGAUAGUUGGGGGCAUUAGUAUUCAAUUGUCAGAGGUGAAAUUCUUGGAUUUAUUGAAGACUAACUACUGCGAAAGCAUUUGCCAAGGAUGUUUUCAUUAAUCAAGAACGAAAGUUAGGGGAUCGAAGACGAUCAGAUACCGUCGUAGUCUUAACCAUAAACUAUGCCGACUAGGGAUCGGAUGAUGUUAAUUUUUUAAUGACUCAUUCGGCGCCUUACG